UCGAAGAAGAGGAAUACACAGGCACGGCAGACCAAGCGAAGGGAAUUGGUGAAAACGUCGUACAAGGCAGGCAGCCUGACACACGUCAUGACAAUGAAUUAGGCAAGGAGUAGAAGAGAGCCUCCCGGUAGAGGAAAUGAGGUAACACUGGCAGGGACCAGCAAUCACCCGGCUCGGCAGGAAGUGGAAAGAAGAUUAGUGUGUGGGGAGCAAGAGAUGGGAAGUUGGAGAGGGUGUGGCUGCCUGGAACAGCAAGACUCUCCCUGGGAGCCCUUGGGCCUCAGCCCUAAGAGGAAGGAGCAGUAGAGUCAUCCUCCUGUGGUUCUCCUCUUGAGCUUCUGCCUCCAGUGUUUCUGUGCAGCUUGUCAGGAGAAAGUGGAAGCGCCAAGGCUGAAAAGUCAGGCCUCAACUCUAUGUCAGAGCCUCCAACGAAGCCUGACAAGAAAUCGUCUAUGCCGAGAAGUUAAUUUGCAUGUAUUAUAUGCCACUGCUGAACCCAGGACAAUAAUGUCACCUGCAGAGGCUCUCAAAACCUUGGAUUCAAAGGAUCUUCCUGCCUCAGCCUCCAAAAUUGUUGUUAUACAAUAAAAUUCUACCACACCUCC
Mesocricetus auratus (golden hamster) is the source of this 605-nucleotide long non-coding RNA. RefSeq lists it as uncharacterized. NCBI's taxonomy places the organism in Eukaryota, Metazoa, Chordata, Mammalia, Rodentia, Cricetidae. The transcript is spliced from 2 exons. The record is from RefSeq and is a predicted model, not a curated record.